AUGGUCAUCAUCUCCACCCCUUGGGGUGGGUUUGUGGUCAUCAUCUCCACCCCUUGGGAUGGGUUUGUGGUGAAGAUCUCCACCCCUUGGGAGGGGUUUGUGGUGAAGAUCUCCAUCCCUUGGGAUGGAUUGAUGGUCAUCCAUCACUCAAGAUGGAUUUAUUGUGGUCACAUCCACCACUCAGGAUGGAUUUAUGGCGUUCAUCUCCAUCCCUUGGGAGUAGCUUGUGGUCAUCAUCUCCACCCCUUGGAAUGGAUUGAUGGUCAUCAUCUCCAUCCCUUGGGAGGGGUUUGUGGUCAUCAUCUCCACCCCUUGGGGUGGGUUUGUGGUGAAGAUCUCCAUCCCUUGGGAGGGGUUUGUGGUGAUCAUCUCCAUCACUCAAGAUGGAUUCAUGGUGGUCACGUCCACCACUCAGGAUGGAUUUAUGGGCUCACAUCCAUCACUCAGGAUGGGUUUAUGGCGUUCAUCCCCUGGGAUCGAUUUAUGGUGCUCAUCUCCAUCCCUCAGGGUGGAUUUAUGUCAUCUCCAUCACCUGGGAUGGAUUUAUGGUGCUCAUGUCCAUCCCUCAGGGUGGGUUUAUGUCAUCUCCAUCCCCUGGGAUGGAUUUAUGGUGCUCAUCUCCAUCCCUCAGGGUGGAUUUAUGUCAUCUCCAUCCCUUGGGAUGGUUUAUGGUGCUCAUGUCCAUCUCUCAGAGUGGAUUUAUGUCAUCUCCAUCCCUUGGGAUGGUUUAUGGUGCUCCUUUCCACCACUCAGGACAGAUUGUACCUCAAAAUGCUGUUGAUGACCCGUCCAGAUCCAGCUGCCAUUCCAAACUGGGCCAUCCCUUUCUCCCAGGAACAGGAAUUUCCCAGGACACACCCAUCCUGGCCCGGAGCCAUCCCUGUCCCCUCAGGCAGGAACAUUUCCUCACCUGAGCCUUCAUCACCAGGAAUUCCUCACCUCCCAGGGUGUCACCAGCCAGUCCCGAGGACACCUCACGUCACCAAACGACCUUUGGGACACGGGACAUCCCGCCCAGAAAUAUUUUGGGUGUCACCUUGGUGUGACUCUGCCUCUGCUCAUCCCUGUUUUCAGUUGGAAUUUUUCCAUCUCCCUGGAAAGAAUUGA
RNAcentral lists this long non-coding RNA (1107 nucleotides) under Cyanistes caeruleus (blue tit). RNAcentral describes it as "lncRNA (ENSCCEG00000004165.1)". The record is from RNAcentral. Lineage: Eukaryota; Metazoa; Chordata; Aves; Passeriformes; Paridae.